RNAcentral lists this ribosomal RNA (253 nucleotides) under uncultured microorganism. Its description in RNAcentral is "partial small subunit ribosomal RNA". It matches the Rfam family "Bacterial small subunit ribosomal RNA", at positions 524 to 776 of the family's 1533-position model. The record is from RNAcentral.
UACGUAGGGGGCGAGCGUUGUCCGGAUUUACUGGGCGUAAAGCGCGUGUAGGUGGCCGCAUAAGUCGGGUGUGAAAGCCCGGGGCUCAACCCCGGGAUGCCGCCCGAGACUGCGCGGCUUGAGGACGGAAGAGGGGAGUGGAAUUCCUGGUGUAGCGGUGAAAUGCGUAGAGAUCAGGAGGAACACCCGUGGCGAAGGCGGCUCCCUGGUCCGUCCCUGACGCUGAGACGCGAAAGCGCGGGGAGCGAACGGG